Echinops telfairi (small Madagascar hedgehog) is the source of this 121-nucleotide small nucleolar RNA. The record is from Ensembl. Lineage: Eukaryota; Metazoa; Chordata; Mammalia; Afrosoricida; Tenrecidae.
AACAUCCAGAUUCCUUACUUAUCAGAUCUAAACCCUGAUCUGAAUGGUUAUAAAAAGAGGAAAAGUAGAAUUGAAACUGACUUAAAUUUUUUGGUGGCAUGCGAGCUAGUUUCAAACAAAA